GGCCAGGUCGGGCGGCUCCGACAACAUGUCCUCCCUCUGCGGGGACACGUCUGGAGAAUGGCAGCUGCGCUCCAGCGUUCGCAGCGGGGAGCCAAUGACAUAAUAAAGAGCCGACAUGUUUUAGGGGAGUUUACAUUUUAGUGAUUGCGAACUGGAGGCAGAUGCGUCUCUUAUAGAGCGGCCAAUCCGGCUGUGACCUGGCCAGACAGACCCACAUGAAACGAAUCUGGUGAAUUCCGUGCAGCACAAUGUUUCCAUCCAUGGAGUAGGAUCUAGAAGGACACAAGGAGCUCUACAAGGACAUCGUGAUGGAGGAUCAGCCGCCCCUCACAUCACCGGAUGGAUCCAAUAAGAGGAACCCACCAGAGAGAUGUCCC
Molecule: long non-coding RNA, 377 nt
Organism: Nanorana parkeri
Lineage: Eukaryota; Metazoa; Chordata; Amphibia; Anura; Dicroglossidae
Exons: 3
Source: RefSeq, a predicted model, not a curated record